GGAGCACAGCAGUGAGCGAGAAUUAGAUCUUGCUCUUUGAGGUUAGCGUCGGACGGGUGUACCUGCCUUGGGGAACCUGACCGUCACACUGGAAUGACUCCGGUACCACCGGGAGCUUAUCCGCGUAUAACUGUUUUGAACUGCAUGGGACGAAUUUGACUUGCGAUUUCCCCUGGCACUUUUAGAUGGACCCGCGAUCGCACUACCUAGUUGGGGAAGUAUCCGCUCCCCACCGUGACAGAUGCAUCGCCCACCUUGGAACUGGAACGCCCACCCUGCUCCUGAGACACGGACCAGAGUCCUACGGGAGGCAGCAGUGGG
Molecule: ribosomal RNA, 321 nt
Filed under: Bacillus sp. C1BR
Lineage: Bacteria; Bacillati; Bacillota; Bacilli; Caryophanales; Bacillaceae
Description: bacterial SSU rRNA
Source: RNAcentral